AGGGGAGUGAGCCAACGGUCAAGCGCGCGGUCUCCAAAACCGUGAAUCCGGGUUCGAAUCCCGGCUCCCCUG
Molecule: transfer RNA, 72 nt
Filed under: Actinobacteria bacterium 13_1_20CM_3_68_9
Lineage: Bacteria; Bacillati; Actinomycetota
Description: tRNA-Trp
Rfam family: tRNA
About the family: Transfer RNA (tRNA) molecules are approximately 80 nucleotides in length. Their secondary structure includes four short double-helical elements and three loops (D, anti-codon, and T loops).
Source: RNAcentral